Molecule: long non-coding RNA, 1695 nt
Organism: Vespula vulgaris
Lineage: Eukaryota; Metazoa; Arthropoda; Insecta; Hymenoptera; Vespidae
Exons: 3
Source: RefSeq, a predicted model, not a curated record
UGAAGACACUAAUCAUACUAAUCAUUCCGUGUCGUGGCUUGUCGUGUCGUGUCGUGUUUUGCCGUGUCGUGCCGUGCCGUGCCAUGCCGUGCCGUGCCUGUCCUGAUCUUAUUCAAUCCAAUUCGAUGUUGUUGCAUUUUUUCGAAUGAAUUUUGUUUUAAUUUUUUUAUUAUUCUUUCUUUUUUUUCUUAAUUUCUGCUGUUUCAAAAUAUUCUAAUUUAUGCGUAUAUUCGUUUGAUUUUCAAUAUAAUUUUAAUCCAAAUAACAUGUUCCAACUCGUGGGACACAGUUGAUGGAUUCAAUUUUAUCAAUAAUAUCAAUGAAUUUAAGCGAUAAAAAUGAUCGACUUUACGAAAUCCCAAUUGGCUGCAUGUUUUUAUCAUUUCAUUCACUUUUAAAACAGCCGCGUAUUUUCCGUGUUUGUCGAUAAUAUUCCUGAUUACUUAACUUUUUUUCAAAUAAAACGUAGAUAUUCAUACAUUUGUAAAGCAACUAUAUUACACGGUUAAAUGUCAAAUGAAAUACAAAAAAUUGCGGCAUCUUUCAUACUUGCGCAAUAAACAUAACGUCUAACAUAUAUUACUACUAUUGUAACGUGUAGUAAUAAUAGUAAUAACAAUAAUAAUAAAUAAUUAUCGGAAAAAAUCUACUCCGUCAGAAAAAUUAACUUCGUUAUUUGAGUUGUUAGAGAUGAUACGAAAAAAAAAGAAAUAGAAAAAAAAAGAGGAUAACAGCUUUUUUACAAUUUUCGAGAUAAACGAAUGGAAAGAUAUAACAAAUAUCUAUUUUUUUAAUAAUUUUCUCAUGGAAUGUGCGACUGCUUACGCCAAUGGUUCAUGCGAAUGGAAAUUUCCGUUAGCGCAGAGGCCUCGUAUGUAAGCCGACGGUGUGUCACCGUCUUCUCGUUGGUCGGUCGGUCAUUAGGCGAAAAUUGCAAUGACACUACGAGAGGACACGAAUGAGAGUUUUAGGUCUAUGGUGUUUCGAAAAGAAGCUCAGGUCGAUGACUUGUGUAGAAUAGGACUGACGAUCGAUACUACUGCACGAUGUUACUAUUUCUGAUUCACUUUGAAUUAUUUUUCGAGUUUAAUGUGUAACUCCGUUACGACAAUGAAGAUAAUUUUGAUCACAAUUAAUAAUAAACGAAGAAGCGAAAGACACCUAUCAUCUUUAUAUUAUACUUUAAUUGCAUCUUCUUAUUUAAAAAUAAUUAUUAUGAAUUAACGAAAUAAAUUAUACAAUAUAUAUAUAUAAAUCAUUAAAUCAACGAAAGUCAAGAUAAAUCUGCUAAAAAUAUAAUAAUCUUUACGUUUCCUCUAUUUUUAGCAAUGAAAUUCGACGUAAUUAAUUAAGUACAUUAAAAUGUGGUUUGGGUCGUUACAUCAAUCAAAGUCAAGAUAAAUUAUUUAAACAAAAAAUAAUAUUUACGAUUUGUGUAAAUCAGAAAUUCAUCGAAACGACGAGUUAUUAUUAACAUAAUGUUUUGUCAUUACAACAGUUCAUUUAACUUUGAAUUAAUUAUGAAUUAAAAUACCAUCUACGAUAUGAUGUAUUCAUAUCAAUGAAUCAAUCAAAAUCAAAUAUACAUUGUUAAAAAAGAAUAAUUUCUAUGAUUUCUGUAAUUUAUUUAAAUAUAUCUAUCUAUUUCUAACAUCAUGACGUUAUCUCUUGAUUAUUAUUUUCAAUAUCAUUUAA